This is an RNA transcript of Pezoporus flaviventris, 1892 nucleotides long. It is a transcript of the gene named UDP-GlcNAc:betaGal beta-1,3-N-acetylglucosaminyltransferase like 1, with no coding region annotated. NCBI's taxonomy places the organism in Eukaryota, Metazoa, Chordata, Aves, Psittaciformes, Psittacidae. The transcript is spliced from 14 exons. The record is from RefSeq and is a predicted model, not a curated record.
GACCGGCAGCACCCCGCGGGCCCCCGCUUCCACCCCGGCCUGGAGCUCCGGCUCCCCCAGGCCGUUCCGGAGUGAGAGGCGGAGGCUGUCAUGGCGGAGGCGGGCAGAGCUGGGGCCCGCCGCCCCGUGCCCCCCCGGCCGCCGGCGGGCCGAGGCUGCGCCGUCCAGGUGUCUGUCAUCGUGCCUGUUCACAAUAGUGAAUGCUGGUUAGAUGAAUGCUUGAAGUCAGUUUGGGAACAAGAUUUUAAAGGAACUAUGGAGCUGUCUGUUUUUAAUGAUGCCAGUGAGGAUGCUUCAGCUGAAAUAAUUGAAAAAUGGAAGAUGAAGUUGGAAGAUGCUGGUGUUCCAGUAAUUGUUGGUAGCAAUGAUUCAUCUGAACCUCGAGGCGUUGGGUUUGCUAAAAAUCAAGCAGUCAUUCAGAGCUCGGGAGCCUAUCUCUGCUUUCUGGAUUCAGAUGAUGUGAUGAUGCCACAGCGUGUUAGGCUGCAGCACGAAGUUGCCAUUCAACACCCAAACAGUAUUGUUGGUUGCCAAAUCAGAAGAGAGCCACCGGAGUCUACUGAACGGUAUACUCGUUGGAUCAAUAGUCUGACUGAAGAACAACUUCUUACACAGGUGUUUACCUCCCACGGACCUACUGUGAUCAUGCCAACCUGGUUCUGUUCUCGAGAAUGGUUUUUUCAUGUGGGAAAAUUUGAUGAGGGUGGAAAGGGUGUUCCAGAAGAUCUGUUGUUUUUCUACAAACACAUCCAAAACGGUGGUGAAGUCUUUCGAGUAAACCAUUGCCUCCUGCUGUACCGUUACCAUCCACAGGCUGCCACUCACUCCGUCCUAGAGGGAACCAUUUGGAAUCACCGAGUCAGGUUUCUUGAAGACAGAGUCCUCAGCUCCUGGACAUCAUUCACCAUUUGGAAUGCUGGCAAGCAAGGCAAGAAGCUCUACCGAAGCUUGUCACCAGCUAAUCAGAAAAAGGUAACUGCGUUUUGUGAUGUGGAUGAAAAGAAAAUAACAAAAGGAUUCUACACUUACGAGGAAUCUGAGGAGAGACCAAAACCAAGAGUUCCAGUUUGUCACUUCAGGGAUGCAAUUCCUCCCUUCAUUAUCUGCGUGAAGCUGGAUUUGACAGGUGGAGCAUUUGAAGCAAACCUGAGCAUGCUGAACUUGAAGGAAGGGGUGGAUUAUUAUCACUUUAACUGAAAACCAAGGUUUUGACUUGAGCUGAAGUGAAACUCGGAUUUUUUUGUUUUACUAUGACAUAAGUAUGACAGAUUUAUCCGCAGAGAUACUGGAUGUGCAGGAAGAUUUCAUUAUCACUAAGCACUGCCAUACUUACCUCUGAAAAACAGUUCUUUUCAGAGACUAAUGCAGCCAGGCAGGUUUAAUACUAAAUGCAUGUACAGCAAGCACGGCCUGAAUAGCUCCAUUCAGAGUUGUAGAAGUAUAAAUCACUGACAUCAAGAGAAAUAACCUAGGUCAACUGUGACAGAAGUAUGGAGAGAAACCGCCAUCUUGUGGCUACAGCGUGCUGCGUGGCUUCUGCCGAGAGCCCCUUUGUCAGGAUGCGGCAGCAUGAACUCGGCCAUCUUAACGGCACCUGAACCCAGAGCUUCAGUGGACGGACCAGCAGCCAGUGCCUGCAGCUUCAUCAUGCUGAGCUCUAAAAGAGAGAAGAAACACAUGGAGUAGGCAUGUAUCAGUGUUUUAACAGUACCUCAGCCAUGUAAUUUAGUAAGCUAAACAUGGAGAAGAAAACAUAGACGUACAAAGCUGUAGCAUCUACAGUCCUUUCUAACACCGCAAUUUCUAACUAUCCUCUAGCAGAUUUUAUCUGUACAAGUUUUAAAGGCACUGUAAAUGCUGAUUUCAGCUGAAAUUAACUUUAGCCACCUGUU